This is a long non-coding RNA of Cotesia glomerata, 1262 nucleotides long. RefSeq lists it as uncharacterized. NCBI's taxonomy places the organism in Eukaryota, Metazoa, Arthropoda, Insecta, Hymenoptera, Braconidae. The transcript has 3 exons. The record is from RefSeq and is a predicted model, not a curated record.
UCGUCUAAGCAUAGUAUACGUAAUACAACGCAAUUCAAUUGUAGUCACUACAGUAAAGACUUGACUGUAUACAGUGUACAGCAUUCCAGGUUAACGAAGAUAUUUAUGAUUUUAAAAGGGUUGGUGAAAGUUGCGAGAGUAAUAAAAAAAAGGAUACCUAACUUUCUAAAGUUAGUGAAAGAGUUUUCAUGUAAUCUAAAAAGUAGGAAGGGAUGAAAAUUUCACUUUACCUGUAUAGUUAAAGAGUUGGUCAGUUUUUUUUUAACUCGCAAACACAAACGACCUCAAACUAGAUAAGGAUACUUUUAAAAACUUAAAAUCUAUCGAUCCCAGAGAGAACCAGGACGAACCUACCACCGACGCCCCUAGAAUAAUCCGGCGUAUAAAUUGGAUUAUCCGAGAGGAGGCAAGGGGAGAGAAAGACUCGACUCCUUUGGCUGCAGACUGAACGUGAUGGUGAAACUAAAGGAGACAAGAGAUAGCCGGGGCUGCCAGAUCGCUAUUUCACGAAAGAAGAUGCGAGAGUCCUGAUGCACAUACAUUUUCCCUUAGUAUACCCGUUGGAUCGUUUCACAUGAGUCGCCUCCUAUCUACCAAUGCAAUAUCAAUUUAACUUGAAUAGUAAUGGAGGAUAAAUAACCAUACAUGCUUGAAUAAGUAUCAAAUUUGUGGUUGGACUUCCACGAAAAAUACGUGAAGAAUAAAGAACAAGCCGGAUUAUUUAGGCAAACAUAAUGUCUCUAAAAAAUAGUCGAAAAACAAUAUAACUCAAGUGAUGCUGGCAUUGUUGGCAAGCAGCUGCAAGAUAAUACUCUCCGAUUACAAUAAAAAAUUAGGAAGGUCAAUAUUAUAAGCCGCAAAGCACCACUGAGCAGACAGAUCGACACGCCUCUUUUUUGCAUAUCCCACCCAACCAAUUUUUGGAUAUUGACGUAACGUGGCAGUCUUUGUUAAACUAGGCAGAGGGUGAAAUUUCGCGUGGUUUUCGCAAGAGCUCUCUCUUGUGUUAAAUCGAUUCAACAGCCCAGGGAAUACCCGACAUUGCGGCAUGAGACUGUUUCUCUCCACUCAGCUUCAACACCAUUAACCCUCUCGUGGUUCGUGGUUCAUAGCCCCUCAGUGUACCGGAUCGAUACGACCUCUGGUCGAAAUCUGGAAUCUAGCUCCAUAGCGACUGUGUUUUCUCAUCUGCUACAUUGUGCCAGAAUUUUUUCAGAUUUUCUUUCAUUCAAGUUAAAAAUUCUCUAAUUUUCGGACACUUA